UGCAAGUCGAGCGGCAGCGCGUCUAGUUUACUAGAUGGCGGCGAGCGGCGGACGGCUGAGUAACGCGUGGGAACGUGCCCCAAAGUGAGGAAUAACUGCCCGAAAGGGUAGCUAAUGCCGCAUAUGAUCUUCGGAUUAAAGUCUUCGGACGCUUUGGGAGCGGCCCGCGUCGGAUUAGGUUGUUGGUAGGGUAAUGGCCUACCAAGCCGACGAUCCGUAGCUGGUCUGAGAGGAUGAUCAGCCAGACUGGAACUGAGACACGGUCCAGACUCCUACGGGAGGCAGCAGUGAGGAAUCUUCCACAAUGGGCGAAAGCCUGAUGGAGCAACGCCGCGUGAAGGAUGAAGGCCCUCGGGUUGUAAACUUCUUUUAUGAGUGAAGAAUAUGACGGUAACUCAUGAAUAAGCACCGGCUAACUACGUGCCAGCAGCCGCGGUCAUACGUAGGGUGCAAGCAUUAUCCGGAGUGACUGGGCGUAAAGAGUUGCGUAGGCGGUUAGUAAAGCGAAUAGUGAAACCUGGUGGCUCAACCAUACAGACUAUUAUUCGAACUCACUAACUCGAGAAUGGUAGAGGUAACUGGAAUUUCUAGUGUAGGAGUGAAAUCCGUAGAUAUUAGAAGGAACACCAAUGGCGUAGGCAGGUUACUGGACCAUUUCUGACGCUAAGGCACGAGAGCGUGGGGAGCGAACCGGAUUAGA
RNAcentral lists this ribosomal RNA (700 nucleotides) under uncultured bacterium. Its description in RNAcentral is "bacterial SSU rRNA". It matches the Rfam family "Bacterial small subunit ribosomal RNA", at positions 56 to 782 of the family's 1533-position model. The record is from RNAcentral.